RNAcentral lists this ribosomal RNA (497 nucleotides) under uncultured bacterium. RNAcentral describes it as "partial 16S ribosomal RNA". It matches the Rfam family "Bacterial small subunit ribosomal RNA", at positions 28 to 507 of the family's 1533-position model. The record is from RNAcentral.
GAUGAACGCUGGCGGCGUGCCUAAUACAUGCAAGUCGAGCGACCAGACGAGGAGCUUGCUCCCCUGACGUUAGCGGCGGACGGGUGAGUAACACGUGGAUAACCUACUUAUAUUACUGGGAUAACUUCGGGAAACCGGAGCUAAUACUGGAUAAUAUAUUGAACCGCAUGGAUCAAUAGUGAAAGACGGCUUUGCUGUCACUUAUAGAUGGAUCCGCGCCGCAUUAGCUAGUUGGUAAGGUAACGGCUUACCAAGGCAACGAUGCGUAGCCGAGCUGAGAGGGUGAUCGGCCACACUGGAACUGAGACACGGUCCAGACUCCUACGGGAGGCAGCAGUAGGGAAUCUUCCACAAUGGGCGAAAGCCUGACGGAGCCAUACCGCGUGAGUGAUGAAGGUCUUCGGGUCGUAAAGCUCUGUUAUUAGGAAAGAACAGAUGUGUAAUUAACUAUGCACGUCUUGACGGUACCUAAAGAGAAAGCCCCGGCUAACUUCGUG